AUUGAACGCUGGCGGCAGGCCUAACACAUGCAAGUCGAGCGGUAGAGAGGUGCUUGCAUCUCUUGAGAGCGGCGGACGGGUGAGUAAUGCCUAGGAAUCUGCCUAGUGGUGGGGGAUAACGUUCGGAAACGGACGCUAAUACCGCAUACGUCCUACGGGAGAAAGCGGGGGAUCUUCGGACCUCGCGCCAUUAGAUGAGCCUAGGUCGGAUUAGCUAGUUGGUGAGGUAAUGGCUCACCAAGGCGACGAUCCGUAACUGGUCUGAGAGGAUGAUCAGUCACACUGGAACUGAGACACGGUCCAGACUCCUACGGGAGGCAGCAGUGGGGGAAUAUUGGACAAUGGGCGAAAGACCUGAUCCAGCCAUGCCGCGUGUGUGAAGAAGGUCUUCGGAUUGUAAAGCACUUAAGUUGGGAGGAAGGGCGAGUUACCGUAAUACGUAU
This 443-nucleotide ribosomal RNA is filed under the name uncultured bacterium. Its description in RNAcentral is "bacterial SSU rRNA". It matches the Rfam family "Bacterial small subunit ribosomal RNA", at positions 30 to 470 of the family's 1533-position model. The record is from RNAcentral.